This 326-nucleotide unclassified non-coding RNA is filed under the name air metagenome. RNAcentral's name for it is "partial contains small subunit ribosomal RNA, internal transcribed spacer 1, and 5.8S ribosomal RNA". The stretch from base 1 to 46 matches the Rfam family "Eukaryotic small subunit ribosomal RNA", at positions 1786 to 1831 of the family's 1831-position model. The record is from RNAcentral.
AAGUCGUAACAAGGUUUCCGUAGGUGAACCUGCGGAAGGAUCAUUAACGAAUAUCUAUGGCGUUGGUUGUAGCUGGCUUCUAGGAGCAUUUGUGCACACCCGUCAUUUAUAUCAUCUUUCCACCUGUGAACUAUGUGUAGGUCUGGAUACCUCUCGCUUUGGCAACAAGGCGGAUGCAAGGAUUGCUGUGUCGAAAGGCCGGCUCUCUUUGAAUUUCCAGGUCUACGUUUUUUACACACUCCAUUUGAAUGAUGUAGAAUGUAGUCAAUGGGCUUUCAAGCCUAUAAAAAACUAUACAACUUUCAGCAACGGAUCUCUUGGCUCUC